CCUCUCUCUAAACUCAGCUGGUGAAAAAGAAAAAAAAGUUUAGACGAAGAAAGAGCAAAAGACAGAAAAAUAACACGAAAACUAAGGAAAAAAUGUUGCUCUCUCGAUCGGGCGCAGCGUGGAAUGCGAACCCUAACAAGUCUUAUGUGGGGCCAGAAUAUUUUCUAAAUUGUUGCAUUUUUGUUGCUUAGCAAGUCUUAUGAGAGGGUUGAGUUUACAGAAAUAAAUAGCCCUAUGCGAGGUCACACAGCAGAAAAUGUGAACCCUAACAAGUCUUUGAGAGGGCUGAGUUUACAGAAAUAAGUUGUGCUUUCUUGGAUCGGUGCAGUGGGGAAUGUGAACCCUAACAAGUUUUAUGAGGUUCUAAGCUUUUGGGGCAUAAGCAUAACUGAAUUUAGUUUGGUUGAAAUUUUCUGAAUAUUCGCUGUCACGUGUGAUCCUUCUCCGCUUCCGAAUAAACAUCACCGACCUCCAAUCCUUUAUCAGGAAUGAGUCGAUCCUGAAGUAUCACCCUAACCUUGAUCAGGGCGAUUGCAGUGGGUGCGGGCGAUUGCAGUGGGUGCAACAUCUGCCUCAAAGUAGGGAGCUACUGGACCAUUUGCCUGUGCAGUCAAAAGAUAUCCAGCAUGAGCUUAACUUUAAAAAUAUGACAGUCCGGGAUUGCAACGUGGUAAAUGUGAACCCCAAACCUUACAAGUUUAAGAUCUCUAGCCUUAGUUUCUGUCCCAAGGCAAAUUACUUGAUGGCUGCUUCUUGGGAUAACCAGGUUUUUUAGGUUAAUAGACCUUAAUUUUAUGAGUUCUGCAAUAACUUUGAUACCAUACAUCUGCUACCUGGAUGUUAUUAUGGCUCUUCUGGUUUUGCUUUGAAUGAUGGGCAGGUUAGGUUCGUGGAGAUUAUGACAGGCAACAGUGAGGCGAAGGCCGCCAUACGCCUUGACCAACUGGUUCUGUGCUCUACUUGGAAGGAUGAUGGCUCCAAGUGUUCACCGGAGGAUGUGAUGAGAAUGUCAAAAUGUGGCCCUUGAUAUGUGCCAUGUGGUGGCCAGCCUAUGUCAUUCACCUGUCAAUGAAGUUACUUGGAUUGAACAGUUGACUUACCUCGCCACAGGAAACUGCGAUAAGACUUUGA
This is a long non-coding RNA of Asparagus officinalis (garden asparagus), 1131 nucleotides long. RefSeq lists it as uncharacterized. The record is from RefSeq and is a predicted model, not a curated record. The transcript has 8 exons. NCBI's taxonomy places the organism in Eukaryota, Viridiplantae, Streptophyta, Magnoliopsida, Asparagales, Asparagaceae.